Molecule: non-coding RNA, 228 nt
Filed under: Caldibacillus thermoamylovorans
Lineage: Bacteria; Bacillati; Bacillota; Bacilli; Caryophanales; Bacillaceae
Description: Bacillus thermoamylovorans T-box sequence
Rfam family: T-box leader
About the family: Uncharged tRNA acts as the effector for transcription antitermination of genes in the T-box leader family. T-boxes are found upstream of many aminoacyl-tRNA synthetase genes and some amino acid biosynthetic genes usually in Gram-positive bacteria.
Source: RNAcentral
AGUAAAGCGAUGAGAAAGAUUAGUACAUUCUACUUAUGCAUUAUAGAGAGUUUGUGGCGGGUGGAAACAAACUGCAAGUCGGAUGGAAUGGACUUUCGAGUCAAAUUCGAACAACGGGACUAAUUUUCUUCUGUUUAGUAGACAUUUGCGUAUGCCUUGCGUUAAAGGUAAAGUGACCAUUUCGGUAACUAGGGUGGUACCGCGGAUUUAUGACCAUUCGUCCCUACU